CCCUUUUAGCCAUUGCCCCCCAAAAAAAUAAGGAAAACCUAUGGACAAUGCCCGCGAAACAAAUUGCAAAUUCGGUCUAAAACCAUAAAAACAAAACCCUACCAAAACAAAUCAGAAAACCCAAAUAUCACUCUCUGGCUCACUCCACCGUGUCACCGCCGUUGGCGUCUCCACCUCUCCAGUCGAGAUCAUGGGAAAGUCAACUACAAUAUUUGAUUAUUUCAAAAGACAAAAAACAGAUAAUUUAGAAGCCAAAACUGAUGAUCCCGCGUUGCCGAGUGCCAGUGUUGAUGAUGUCCCAAUUUCUGAAAAUCCCAACUCAUUUCAUAGAGUUUUGGAGAGCUCGUGUGAGUUUAAUCAAGUGCUUGACAAUUUCACUUCUGAACAAAUUGCAAAUGACCGGCUGCUAUUAAAGGUCACCAUUGAUGUUGUCAAAUUGCUUGCAUUCCAAGGUCUUCUGUUUGAUGAUUUCACUGGUUUAAUCAGUCACGAAAAAUUCCGUUCACUUUUGGAUAUGGUGGCAUCAUUUAAUGAAAAGGUUACUGAAGUGAUGAAUAGAGCUCCUGAGAAUGCGUGUUACAAAUUACCUGAUAUCCAAAAAGAAAUUUUACAUGUUUUUUCAAACAAGGUGAGAAAGGCAAUUCGCGAAGAAAUUGGUGAUGCAAAGUUUUGCAUAAUUGUUGAUAAAUUUUAUGAUGUGUCAUGGAAUGAUAUAAUUGCUAUUGUUUUAAGGUUUGUAGACAAAGACGGCUUUGUGCAGGAACGUUUUUUUGGGUUAGUUCGUGUCUCCAACUUUUCGGCAUUAACCCUAAAAGAUGGGAUAUAUUCUGUUUUGUCUCAUCAUUGUCUAAAUAUCCAAAAUAUUCGAGGACAGGGGUAUAAUAGGGCAAGUAAUAUGAGAGGGGAGUGGAGUGGAUUACAAGCUUUAGUUUCAAAUGAUUGUCCAUAUGCUUACCAUGUCCAUUGUUUUGUACAUUGCAUGCAAUUAGCGAUAGCGGCAGCAUCAAAGAACGUUAUCCCUGUUCAAAGUUUUUUCAUGAAAUUAACUUCUGUUGUCAAUGUUGUUGGUGAGUGUAAUGAGAAACUAAAAAGUUCUUAUGCUGCUGAAAUUGCACAUAUGAUUGACAUGGUUGAGCUUGAAUCUGGAAGGGGAUUUGAUGAGAUUAGCACUUUGCAAUGGGCUGGAGAUACUCGUCGGAGUUCUCACUUGAAAUCGUUUUCUAGCUUGAUAAAAAUAUUCAAUCCAAUAUGUGAAAUUUUACUUGAGGUCAUUGAUGACGGAACUAGUUCCCAACGAGGAGAAGCAGACUUAGCUUAUGAGGAAUUGACAUCAUUUGAAUUUGUGUUCAUUUUGCAUCUAAUGAAAGAAGUUAUGGAGAUCACUAAUCCGUUUUGUCAAGCUUUGCAAUUCCAGUCUCCAAACAUUUUAAAUGUCUUGCAUUUUGUUUCAUCCACUAAAGUACUUAUCCAAAAAUUCAGAGAUGAUGGAUGGGAUGGCUUACUUACCACUGUGAAAUCAUUUUGUAAGGCAUGCAACAUAGAUGUCCCAGAUAUGAAUGCUCGUUAUGUUCGGUUUCGAGGUCUAGCUCGUCAUCAAAAAGAUUACUUUACAAUUGAGCAUCAUUACCGAGUAAAUAUUUUUAAUGCUACAAUAGAUUCUAUAGUUCAAGAAUUAAAUCGUCGGUUUAGUGAGCAUGUAGUGGAACUACUUCGUCUUAGCUCAGCUCUUGAUCCUAGAGAAGCAUGUGAAUCUUUUAGAAUCGAAGAUAUUUUAUUGUUGGUAAACAAGUUUUAUCCACAAGACUUCACAGACCAUGAAAAGCAACAACUGAAAGUGGAACUUGAUCAUUAUGAGCAUGAUGUAGUUCGGCAUCUGGACUUCAAAAAGCUGUCAACUAUUUCUGAAUUGUGCCAAUGGUUGGUAAAAACUAGAAAAUCAAUAGACUACCAUCUUGUUUAUAGAGUGGUUAUACUUGUGCUUACUCUUCCAAUUUCUAUUGCAACUACGGAGCGAGCAUUUUCAGCCAUGAAUAUUGUCAAAACUUGGCUUGUAGACAAAGUGCAAGAUGAUUUUCUGGCGGACUCUUUGAUUUUGUAUAUGGAGAGGGAGACUGCUGCAAAAUUUAGUUUGGAAUCAAUCAUCGAUGAUUUUCAAGAUUUCAAAGAACGUCGAGUUCCAUUUUGAUAGACAAGUAUUAAUUUAUGGCUGGGACUGGGAGGUUCUCUCCUCUUUCUGCCAUGGCUUAUUAAUUGAAGCUUCAUUCAGUCAUUUGGGUGCUCAGAAUUGAAGCUAUAAGCAGAUUGCUGAUUUGUCUUCUUUGUACUUGCAUUACAUGCAGUGAAAGCCACCAACAUCGGGAUGCAAUUAGCAGAUAGGCAAGUUGGGUUUCUAUUAUCUGCUCAGUUUAUCCAUAUUCAUCCAUUUGUAGAUAGCGAUCACUUCAUCCACAAGGAUUUCAUGCCACAAGAAUAUGCUAUACUAGUACCCGUUUUUGCCAGUGUGGUGCGUCUCUGUUUCUUAUGUGUGUUUAUUGGAUUAGUGAUGCUCAAAUCCAAAAAGAAGGCUUGAUGCAAAAUUUCUUCCAUUUUUCACUUCUGCGGAGAGUAACUUAGAAAUUUACUUAUUUUCCUUGUUUGUUUUUCCUCCCCCAACACAUUUUCUAGUCUGGAUGAUUGUUUAGUUUUGGAUUUGCUGCAGCUUGCAGAUUUUGUAUAUCGGUAUCAUUUCUAAUACUAUUGGAAGCUCACAUGUCA
Molecule: RNA transcript, 2754 nt
Organism: Quercus lobata
Lineage: Eukaryota; Viridiplantae; Streptophyta; Magnoliopsida; Fagales; Fagaceae
Exons: 5
Source: RefSeq, a predicted model, not a curated record